CCGCAUCUUUGAAAACCCCUCAGUGGCCUUUGUGACCAACGGGACAAAAAAGGAUGCUAGAGAAAAUCGGGAAUUCCAAGGCAGAGGGCUAGAUCAGUGGCCUUCGGCCAUUUCACCUCCUGGACAUUA
Gadus morhua (Atlantic cod) is the source of this 129-nucleotide small nucleolar RNA. Ensembl annotates it as small nucleolar RNA SNORA14. The record is from Ensembl. Lineage: Eukaryota; Metazoa; Chordata; Actinopteri; Gadiformes; Gadidae.